GGAAACACCGGUUCACAUUGAGUGCAUCAUCGCUAAUCAGCUACUAUGUAUGGUCAGCGGACAUGCUUGCUUAUUCCUGUAACAUAUCAUUACUCUAUCUGCUUAGCCUUUCCAACUUUUAAGAUUUGAUCCAUUCUUUAGAAGUUCGUACAGAUCUAGAAGUAUUUUGUUUUGUUGGUCAAAUCCAUUGCCUGUCUGUCCUUAUUUAUUUUAUUGUUCGAACAAGAUAUCAGAUCACCUACAUUCAUUAUUCUUGAUUACAGUCUCAUACUAAAGUAGUCUAAAAUGGUCUGAAUAGUUGUAGUAAUUCAUAAAUAUUUUCAGUGUAGUUCUUAUUUGGUUUCUAGGCAUAGAAUUUACUUCAAAAUUUUGAUCUUUAUUUGGUUAGUAAGGCUCUAGAAAAAAACAGACCAAUGAUAUAUAUACAAACAAACACAAUAGGAGUUAACUGGUACCUAGCUUUUGAAACCUCUGAUAUAUACAAAAUAUUAUUUGAGUAGAAUAGGAGAGAUGCAAUCUUAUGGAUAUUUCCGCAUUUGUAAGAAACUUUCCAGCUUGGCAAGAGGGCUUAACUAGACAUGUGUAGGACUCAGCCAUGCUGCCUUCCAAAUGAUUAGUCAUUGGUGUUUUCUUAUGUUCCUGUUAGUCCAAGUGCAUCAGAUAAGUAGACUGUUAUGUUGAAAAAAGGAAAGAGACUACUCUUUUGUUACUUACAGUACAGAUAUAUGCUAUAACAUAUUACCUUUAUGCUCUCGAUUUCAGUAUAUGCCUGCGAACAAGUGAGUCAGUAAUAUCAUUGCCUAAGAAUUACUUUGUUUGCCAUUUUAAUCGUUACAUCAGAGAGCAAUGGAUAUAGAAGAAAUAUGUAAACAGUUGUCCCUAGAAGAAAUAUGCAACAACUUAUUUAGGUUACUUAAUUAAUAACGCCUCUAUAUCAUUACAUACACAUACUGAAUGUGCCUUUUGAGAGUGAGCUUCUGUCAGUACCUCACACUUAUCUUAUAUGCCAUUCCAACUAUCUGUUGCAGUAGAGAGCAAGGGACAUAUAAGAAAUCUCCAGGCAGCUUCGCUUAGAUGCAUCAUCUUCUGCUAGGACCUAGGAGUCAGCUUGAAGAAUGACCUUCUCAGGUUAAUUCUUUGCAGAGAACCUGCUGCACUAUAACUUUGGUUUAAUCUGUCGAUAAUGCCCAUGAGUAUAUUCUUAGUGUAUGUUUGACCAGAUUGUUUUAACUUAUGUUGUUCCUAUGCUUCAGGAGACUGCAACUGACAUGCUGGAUGGUGAAUAACCAAAUUUGUGGACAAAGACAAAGAGUUCAUCGCAAGGGGUGGUGUUUAGGAUAUAUAUACACAACAGAGGAAACUUUCUUUUAUACAGAACCAAAUUAUAUGGUGUAAUUGACCACUAUUUCUAAGAAAUGUUCAUCAUGUAUUAAGUACAUUUUAUUGUGUCACUUUUUUUGAGGGGUAGCUUUAUUCAUCAAACACCACAAAGUGUGCAAUAGAGUUCAUCAAACCAAGCUUUAUUGUGUCACCUAUGUUUACCUUCUUUUUUACUGUGUCGCCUAUGUUUACCUUCUUUUUAGCGUAAGCUAUUUGGACUUUCUAAUUGCAGGCUCAGUUAUUUGACCCACCGAUGUUCUAAUUUGUUGCAUAAUUACAUUAAGCAACUAUUUACAUUUCAUUCUUUGUUUGAAUUUUUUUUAAACUUAUGCCUCUGUGUUCCUGAAUAACAUAACAAAUUAUGCAUGCUCAAGUAUAUAUUUUGAAAGGCAAGUCUAUUAUUUUUUAUAGAAGUAGUUACAAUUCAUGUCCUAUGUGAUUGCUCAAGUGUAUAGUUAUUAACAAAUGCAAAUAUUUUCAAAGUGUUCAUGGUUUUAAAUG
RNAcentral lists this long non-coding RNA (1881 nucleotides) under Triticum aestivum (bread wheat). RNAcentral describes it as "long non-coding RNA (TAES_LNC016090)". Lineage: Eukaryota; Viridiplantae; Streptophyta; Magnoliopsida; Poales; Poaceae. The record is from RNAcentral.